GUAAAGCGGCGAACGGGUGAGGAAUACAUGGGUAACCUACCCUCGAGUGGGGAAUAACUAGCCGAAAGGUUAGCUAAUACCGCGUACGCUCCUUGGACUUCGGUUCAGGGAGGAAAGCGAUACCGUGGGUAUCGCGCUCUUGGAUGGGCUCAUGUCCUAUCAGCUUGUUGGUGAGGUAACGGCUCACCAAGGCUUCGACGGGUAGCUGGUCUGAGAGGACGAUCAGCCACACUGGCACUGCGACACGGGCCAGACUCCUACGGGAGGCAGCAGUAAGGAAUAUUGCGCAAUGGGCGAAAGCCUGACGCAGCGACGCCGCGUGGGGGAUGAAGGUCUUCGGAUUGUAAACCCCUUUCGGGAGGGAAGAUGGAAUGGGGUAACCCAUUCGGACGGUACCUCCAGAAGCAGCCACGGCUAACUUCGUGCCAGCAGCCGCGGUAAUACGAAGGUGGCAAGCGUUGUUCGGAUUUACUGGGCGUACAGGGAGCGUAGGCGGUUCGGUAAGCCCUUUGUGAAAUCUCCAGGCUUAACCUGGAACAGUCGGAGGGG
This 549-nucleotide ribosomal RNA is filed under the name uncultured Nitrospira sp. RNAcentral's name for it is "bacterial SSU rRNA". It matches the Rfam family "Bacterial small subunit ribosomal RNA", at positions 90 to 631 of the family's 1533-position model. The record is from RNAcentral. Lineage: Bacteria; Pseudomonadati; Nitrospirota; Nitrospiria; Nitrospirales; Nitrospiraceae.